This 518-nucleotide ribosomal RNA is filed under the name uncultured fungus. RNAcentral describes it as "SSU rRNA". It matches the Rfam family "Eukaryotic small subunit ribosomal RNA", at positions 214 to 732 of the family's 1831-position model. The record is from RNAcentral. Lineage: Eukaryota; Fungi.
AUAAAAAACCAAUGCCCUUCGGGGCUCUCUGGUGAUUCAUAAUAACUUAACGAAUCGCAUGGCCUUGUGCCGGCGAUGGUUCAUUCAAAUUUCUGCCCUAUCAACUUUCGAUGGUAUGGUCUUGGCUUACCAUGGUUUCAACGGGUAACGGGGAAUUAGGGUUCUAUUCCGGAGAGGGAGCCUGAGAAACGGCUACCACAUCCAAGGAAGGCAGCAGGCGCGCAAAUUACCCAAUCCCGACACGGGGAGGUAGUGACAAUAAAUACUGAUACAGGGCUCUUUUGGGUCUUGUAAUUGGAAUGAGUACAAUUUAAAUCCCUUAACGAGGAACAAUUGGAGGGCAAGUCUGGUGCCAGCAGCCGCGGUAAUUCCAGCUCCAAUAGCGUAUACUAAAGUUGUUGCAGUUAAAAAGCUCGUAGUUGAACCUUGGGCCUGGCUGGCCGGUCCGCCUCACCGCGUGCACUGGUCCGGCCGGGCCUUUCCUUCUGGGGAGCCGCAUGCCCUUCACUGGGUGUGUC